CCACCACUAAGCCAGUGGUGAACUCCACAUACGCAUCCUUUGCUGAGGAUACGGUUAACGGAGCGAAAGCGACGUUCAACCUCAAAAGAAGCAGAGGGGGCUUAGUGGUGGGGUGACUGCGUACCUUUUGUAUAAUGGGUCAGCGACUUAUAUUCUGUAGCAAGGUUAACCGAAUAGGGGAGCCGGAGGGAAACCGAGUCUUAACCGGGCGUUAAGUUGCAGGGUAUAGACCCGAAACCCGGUGAUCUAGCCAUGGGCAGGUUGAAGGUUGGGUAACACUAACUGGAGGACCGAACCGACUAAUGUUGAAAAAUUAGCGGAUGACCUGUGGCUGGGGGUGAAAGGCCAAUCAAACCGGGAGAUAGCUGGUUCUCCCCGAAAGCUAUUUAGGUAGCGCCUCGUGAAUUCAUCUCCGGGGGUAGAGCACUGUUUCGGCUAGGGGGCCAUCCCGGCUUACCAACCCGAUGCAAACUGCGAAUACCGGAGAAUGUUAUCACGGGAGACACACGGCGGGUGCUAACGUCCGUCGUGAAGAGGGAAACAACCCAGACCGCCAGCUAAGGUCCCAAAGUCAUGGUUAAGUGGGAAACGAUGUGGGAAGGCCCAGACAGCCAGGAUGUUGGCUUAGAAGCAGCCAUCAUUUAAAGAAAGCGUAAUAGCUCACUGGUCGAGUCGGCCUGCGCGGAAGAUGUAACGGGGCUAAACCAU
RNAcentral lists this ribosomal RNA (708 nucleotides) under Salmonella enterica. RNAcentral's name for it is "partial 23S ribosomal RNA". The stretch from base 89 to 708 matches the Rfam family "Bacterial large subunit ribosomal RNA", at positions 568 to 1190 of the family's 2925-position model. Lineage: Bacteria; Pseudomonadati; Pseudomonadota; Gammaproteobacteria; Enterobacterales; Enterobacteriaceae. The record is from RNAcentral.